AGUGCAGAUUUUGGGGGUAGUAGCAAGUACUUUGGUGAACCAACCGGGAGCUGUGAGGUUUGGAUCAGGGUUCCAUGUCAACAGUGAUUGAACAGGGUGAGUCGAUCCUAAGCCAACUGUGAAAGCAGUGACAUCCCGACAAAGGGGCAGUUCGUUUGGCGGCCACACGCGUUUGUGUGCACAUUCGCAAGUCUCCUCUCUCUAUAUAUGGUCGCGCGCGCAUGCAAACACCCGGUGCGCGUGUGUUUUGUCUGGUUACGCUCAAAAAGCGUUAUAUGGUUGGAGAGAGAGAAAACGAGGCAGUGCCGCGCGUGUGUGCGUGUGCGUUCGUUCUCAAAGUUCCCUGCGUCUGGUUCUAUGUCUGGCGAAAGGGAAUGGGGACUUUGUUCCUUGACCGGUCCCGGCACCCUCGAUAGGCUUUGCCAAUCAAUGGUCCAUGCAAAUGGAACCAGGCCACAGCCGCCGGCAGUCGCCCGAGGAAGAGUUUUCUUUUCUGCUUAACGCACGAGAUCAUCCCUGGAAACAGUUCGGCUGGCGAAAGGGUGCCCCGUUGCGGCAGAGCGCCACGACUGUCGUGCGCGUCUCGGUGUUCCUGCCGGUCCGUGAAGACGUGGUCGAGGGGAUUGCUAUUGUAUCAACGAAACGCCCGACAAGUUCGGGACGGACCGUACCCUAUAUCCGCAUCUGGUCUCCAAGGUUCGUAGCCUCUGCAGAGUCAGACACAUGUAGGUAAGGGAAGUCGGCAAACUCGAUCCGUAACUUCGGGAAAAGGAUGGCUCUGAGGGCCGAGCUGGGCCGGGCCUAGCCUGCAAAGCAGUACCUAUAGUGACCGGAGUUUCAGGAGUGCGAGGGGCUCUAGUAGCUUCCUGCGCUUUC
This 876-nucleotide ribosomal RNA is filed under the name Niphargus alasonius. RNAcentral's name for it is "partial large subunit ribosomal RNA". It matches the Rfam family "Eukaryotic large subunit ribosomal RNA", at positions 1441 to 2044 of the family's 3401-position model. Lineage: Eukaryota; Metazoa; Arthropoda; Malacostraca; Amphipoda; Niphargidae. The record is from RNAcentral.